GAGAUUCUUGGCGGAUGCUCAUUGGUCAAGAGGUAAGCGUUAGUCUCCCAUAAAUCACGCCAUCGACGAACCUCAGUCUCGCGUGGUCUUAGCCGCCUCCUGAGGGCUCAUGCUUGAGAUUCCGUGUUUUUCUAUUCUUCGGUUCAAUUUGACUUGGAAGUCCUCUCGGGCUGAAAUCCUUUGAGGCAGCCGGAUGUGUCCCACAUACAUUUCCAAACUUGCCACUGAGGGUGGCUCUUUCAUCCCUCCGUGUUGAAAGCCCCCAGGCAGGCGCCGACCUCCAAGCAGGAGCAAGUUUGGCGUGUAGCACAGAAGGAGCGAUGGCCUGUGAGGCAGAGCGUGGCAGGGGAGCUGCUGGAGAUGUAGACUGAGCCCGAAUCAGGCAGUCCAUGUGAACUCCAUUGAAAUAUGGUGUGUCAAAUGAGUAUUGUGCCUCAGCAAAUCAGCAGAGUGAGCAGUGUGAUGGCUGCUUUGGUCAGUGGAGGAAGUUGAAAUGAAGACAGAGUGAAGAUGGAGAAACAAGAUGGAAGUGGUAGAGAGAACCAAGAGAGAAGGCUAAGGUGGCUCUGAGAAGGAAUAGAGAACUUUUCUUCUUGUUAAGGGCAGCAGAGGGAAGAAUCCAGCUGACAACUCACUAUUCACAGCCAUCUGGCUCCAGGAACAACAGAUUGAUCAUGUAUGUGCCCAACUCUUUCAAAAUGGAAAUGAUGAACCCACAAAGGAAAAACUCCCAAGGAUCUUAAUAGAACAUAUUGCCUAAUACAAAACAGCAAAUGAUAAGGACUUCUGCAGAAGGAAAGCAAUCAAACAAAACAAAGAAGGGAAGAAACAAAGAAAGAUAAUGACAGCACAACUGGAUCAAACUGGUUUUCCCACACUUCCUGCCUGGGUAACUAGAGAUUGUUACCCACCCAAUGAACCACUGCACCCCUCAUCUCUGGUGAUUGCAUGCUACUCAAGACCUGGAGGGAACAGGAACCUGAUUACCAACUUGCUGAGAUAUGGACAGAGACAGAGCCACAUGCUAUUUUCGUGACCACUUAAUCAUGUCUUAGGUCAACUGUGGUGCAACCUUGGAUACAUCACAGCCAGGUGAAAGGAGCCCCACUUGAGAGAUCAGAAACACAACCUGAGGCUUCUCCAUGGACAUAUACACCAGAAAAGAAGAAUAAUCUGUGUAGUGGGAACCCUCCGUUGGCCCCCUUCAUAUUGAAUGAGAGCACGCACUCAUGAAGGAUUAUGGGUGAUCAUUUCCCAUGCUCGGAUGCUUGUUCCCAGGCUGUGGUGUUUGGCAGAAAUCAGUGAUUUUUCAGAACAUUGGAAGGUGCCCACAGCUGGCAUUGGUGUAUUUUUUGUCAUUUCAAAGAACCUAUGGACAGUCCUUUGCUUUUCCAUACAAGAGUAACCUUAGGGAUACUUUGCUUCAUUCUAGGUCAGGCUGCCUGCAGACAUAGACCCUUUCCUCUGCUGCCUUAUUGCCAGUUACAUUAAAUACAGUAUAGGACAAGAGUUUAUUAAUACUUUACUGUAGUCAACAUACGUUAGUGAUAGUGAAAGUCAUCUUACACAAUAACCCUCCUCUCUCUUGUCUCCCUCACACCAGCCUUGAAGGUUUUCAAAGAAGAGCCCUUGGAGCAUGCUGUGUUUACUAUCCCAGCUGUUACUGAGGCAUUCAAUGACACCCACUUUUCUUUGGUUGUUCACCUGCCAAUGACAGGGCCUGGACUGAGAGCAUGCUCUUCCAGAUGUGGCACGUGCUUCUGGCAGGUGUCCAAGGAUGCACCAUUAUGCUUCAGCGUGGGGCCCGACACAGGGCUCAAUACCAUGACCUUGGGAUCAUGACCUGAGGCGAAAUAAGAGUCAGGCGCUCAGUGGACUGAACUACCCAGGCACCCCAAGAAUUUGCAUUUCUGACGAGCAUCAUGUGAUGCUAAUGCCGCCUGUCCAUAAACCACACUUUGAGAACCCACUCUGGAUUAAGACAAG
Acinonyx jubatus (cheetah) is the source of this 1986-nucleotide long non-coding RNA. RefSeq lists it as uncharacterized. The record is from RefSeq and is a predicted model, not a curated record. Lineage: Eukaryota; Metazoa; Chordata; Mammalia; Carnivora; Felidae. The transcript has 10 exons.